This 253-nucleotide ribosomal RNA is filed under the name uncultured bacterium. RNAcentral's name for it is "partial 16S ribosomal RNA". It matches the Rfam family "Bacterial small subunit ribosomal RNA", at positions 524 to 776 of the family's 1533-position model. The record is from RNAcentral.
UACGUAGGGGGCAAGCGUUGUCCGGAAUCAUUGGGCGUAAAGCGCGUGUAGGCGGCCUUGUAAGUCCGUUCUGAAAGUCCGGGGCUCAACCCCGGGAGGCGGAUGGAUACUGCAAGGCUCGAGUACGGAAGAGGCGAGUGGAAUUCCCGGUGUAGCGGUGAAAUGCGCAGAUAUCGGGAGGAACACCAAUGGCGAAGGCAGCUCGCUGGGACGUUACUGACGCUGAGACGCGAAAGCGUGGGGAGCAAACAGG